Carassius gibelio (silver crucian carp) is the source of this 3344-nucleotide long non-coding RNA. RefSeq lists it as uncharacterized. The transcript is spliced from 4 exons. The record is from RefSeq and is a predicted model, not a curated record. Lineage: Eukaryota; Metazoa; Chordata; Actinopteri; Cypriniformes; Cyprinidae.
GGAGCCGCUGAGGACACACACAACACACAUACACACAUACACAAGAGCAACAGAUUUAACAGCUGCUUUAAUACUGCAGCGAAUCACUUUAAUACAAAUAUUACAUUUAACCUUUUUGGUCUGCUGAACCCCUUCGAUAAUAUUUACUUUAAGUCACUUUGAGAUUAUGUGUGUGUGUGUGUGUUAAGGUGCACUGUAAAAAUUUUCCAGGAUUUCACAAUAUAUAACUGUAAUAUUUCACAGUUAAUUACAUUAUUACCACUUCACAGGCUUUAACUGUGAUAAUUCACAAUAUAAUACCGUAUUUAGACUUUUACUGUGAAAAUAAUGCAGGCGCGGGGCUUUUACAAGAAACUACUGUGAAUGCCGUCUUUUUUGAGUGGCAACUGCGGCAGCGUCAUCAGAGCGUCAUCAGAGCUCUCUGAUCUACGUGGUCUCAUUCGGUGGAUUCAGACAGCGGUAAGUGUUUAAAUGUCAAACUUUAUCAAUUUGAUGUUUUUUAUAUGAUAGUGCAUGUAAUUUAAAAGUAUGAACCAAAUUAGGGUUAGUUGUAGGUUCUGUUGUCAUGUUUUUGUAAGUUAGCUGGAGCAGACUCGCAUCGACGAUUAAGCGCGCAAAUUUGAAUGAAAAGACGUUGGUUGUAGUGUUAAUUAUACCGUAUUAAGUUAACUGUGAGAUGUCUGAUUAGAUACACCGUCGAACAUUUAACUUUAGCUUUAAAGCCUCUGCAAACGGAACAUGUAAAUUAUGUAAAUUGUUGUGUGCGAAUGCUUUGCCUAGGUAAAUCACACACCUCUACUUUGGUGAAGGUCUAUUCUUGACUGUGUUUGUGAUGGAAAUGUUUUUCAGUUCAGUUCCAUGCAUUUUUUUUUCUGAAUUACAGUACUUACACCUGAAUUACACCUUUGUUUAAACUGAGCUAACUUUAGUUUGACUCUGUACUGCAAAAGCAGUGACCCACUGAAGGUGGUGACUGGGAACUGACACUUUUUUCAUCACACGAAUUAAACUAACAGGUUUCUUCUGUCUUUUUGUUUGUAGGUGCUUCUUGGGCAUCAACCCACAGACAGGCACAAAAUCUAAGAGGCAGAGAGGUCACAUGAACCAGCAAGUCUGCACUCUUAUCAGGAAGCUCAUUGACUUCGAAUGGAUGUCAAUCUAAUUGGAUAGAACCCACACUAUGCAGGUGCCAGCUGCGAGGGAAGGAGAGAGACACCUGCGACACCACCUUUUUGUCUUUUCUUACAUCUCUCUCCCUCACUCUCUCUUCUCUGUCUCCUUCUUUCUCUUUUGACACACAUUCCUGUUACCCAGUGUCAAUCCCUGUUGCCCAGUGUUUUAUUCAUGUAAUUAAAUUGUAUUUUACUUCUAAAAAAUAAAAGUUAUGUCACUGUUUUUAUCAGUUUUGUUUGGUCCAUCAUUUAUGCUAAAUCACAGUAAUAGAUAGACAUUCACAGUUAUGUACAGUAAUUCUACAGCUGCUUACUGCUAAAUUACAGUAAUAGAUAGACUAAUUUUACAGUUAAAUACAUUAAUUCUACAUCUGCUUGCUGCUAAAUUACAAUAAUAGACACUAAUUUCACAGUUAAAUACAUGAAUUCUACAGCUGCUUACUGUUAAAUUACAGUAAUACAUAGACACCAACUGUAAUUUCACAGUUAAAUACAUUAAUUCUACAGCAGCUUACCGCUAAAUCACAGUAAUGCGAUGUCUAAAUUACUGUGAAGUCACAGUAUACAGCUGUCAUUUCACAAUAAUUUACUGUAAAAAUGUUACAGUAACUUACUGUGAAAGUCAUGCAAUUAUUAACCUGCAAUUUAUUGUAAAUUUACAGUCAAAUAAUUAACAGUGUGUGCUCGUACCGUCGGCACAGGUGACUCCGGCGGCUCUGGCUCCGCCCCCUCGUGGGCAGGACACCUGUCUGUUCCUGUGGCACUGCUGGAUGGAGAUCUCUGUGCCGAUGCAGUGUGUUCCGCUCAGAAGCACGUCCUCGGACCCGGAGCUGCUGGGCCAGAACCAGGUCUCCUGCGGGACGGACCGAACACAUGACUGCCUCCGCAGGAAUCCACCCAGAGUCUAAUAACGCCCGCUAUUACAGCUAAUUCAUGCACAUUAUCAAAUACUUUCCACGUUCCUCUCCACCGUCUAUUUAGCGAGAGGCUUUAAUAAGAGUGCAAAUGUGCUCCGGUUCAGCAGCUCUAUUCUGGGUUUGUUUUCUCUCUGGUUUCCUGCUCUUUCCCUGAAUCUGUGCAGGGCUGUAAUUACCUCUGCAUGGAAACAACAGCCGUGAAAACAGUGAAACGAAUAGAUUCUGCAUUGCGCAUCUGACUUUACCUCGUGACUGUGUUUGUUUAAUGCUUUUCAUCUGCUGCAAGUCAUUUAUCAUGUUGCAAAAAAGAGACACAAGUUUGUUUCCACGCUUUCAUUUUUCACUAUUAAUACCUUGCACCUGUUUCCAAGAAAGUCAGGCUGUUAUUCUCUUGAACACAUGGUAUGGAGGUUGGAGGUAACGUCACGUACCUGAUGGGCUCUGGAAGCGAAGCCCAAGCCGAGCUGUCGACACACCACCAUGGCUUCAUUAAUGCCCCAGUUCUGACCGCAGACGGAGCCCCAGCGCUGCUGACCGUUCACCUCCAUCAGCACCUCCACCCGGCCCUCCGCCGCCUCCCGCCCCCCCGCCAGACGCACCUGGACAUUACAGGACACACCACAGCCCGGGGGGCACUCGUCAGGCUGCCAUCGACUCGAGCAGAAGAUUACUCUACUACAGGAAGUGUGUACGUACGGUGGCGCUCAGGCCGGUGUUGGGGACGUUGCAGCGGACAGAUGCAUCCUGGGAGUGUUUGCAUGAGUGCAGUGGCACCUCCCGGAAGCGGCACUGUGUGAUGGAGCGCUCCUGUCCCGAACACUGCACCGCGUUCAUGUGGAUCAGACCCGUACCUGCACAAACACAUGUUCCACGAGCUGAUGAAGAAAACUGCAACUGGCCUGAUUGAAAGACUAGUGGAGAAACUCAAACUCAACACCCAUGAGCCACUGGGAAAGAGGAAAUAACACUGAGCUCAUAUCAGCUCUGGUGACAUUACCUUGACCCAUGAGCGCUCCUCGUGGGGCGUCUCUGGCCGAGCCGAAGCCCAGCUCUCUGCACACCACGCUGGCCGCGGUCAGAUCCCACAGAUGGUCACACACGGUCCCCCACUUCCCCUCGCGGAGCACCUCCACCCGACCCUCGCCCAGCCGUGCACCGGCCUUCAGACGCACCGCCGCCUGCAGGAACACACAGACACAUGAGCCGUGUCCCCGGGGCCAGGGCUCACAGCUGGACCCUGAGCAGCACUCACCUU